AGAAUCAACGCUGGCGGCGUGCCUAACACAUGCAAGUCGCACGAGAAAGGGACUUCGGUCCUGAGUACAGUGGCGCACGGGUGAGUAACACGUGAAUAAUCUACCUCCGAGUGGGGAAUAACUGAGAGAAAUCUUAGCUAAUACCGCAUAACACUUACGAGUCAAAGCAGCAAUGCGCUUGGAGAGGAGUUCGCGGCAGAUUAGUUAGUUGGCGGGGUAAUGGCCCACCAAGACGAUGAUCUGUAUCCGGCCUGAGAGGGCGCACGGACACACUGGAACUGAAACACGGUCCAGACUCCUACGGGAGGCAGCAGUGGGGAAUUUUUGCACAAUGGGGGAAACCCUGACGCAGCAACGCCGCGUGGAGGAUGAAAUCCCUUGGGAUGUAAACUCCUUUCGAUAGGAAGAUAAUGACGGUACCUAUAGAAGAAGCCCCGGCUAACUUCGUGCCAGCAGCCGC
Molecule: ribosomal RNA, 460 nt
Filed under: uncultured bacterium
Lineage: Bacteria
Description: SSU rRNA
Rfam family: Bacterial small subunit ribosomal RNA
Source: RNAcentral